This 205-nucleotide long non-coding RNA is filed under the name Medicago truncatula (barrel medic). RNAcentral's name for it is "lncRNA gene9507". Lineage: Eukaryota; Viridiplantae; Streptophyta; Magnoliopsida; Fabales; Fabaceae. The record is from RNAcentral.
UCCAAGGACAAUGGUGAAAGAAACUAAUUUAGAUAAAGAUGUUCAUCAUAUUAUAGACUAGACAAGGAAUAAAAAAGAGUUUAUGGUUUUAUUUUAGGGUUAAUAGGUCUUUAUCCCCUGUAAUAUAUGUUAUUUCCGGGUUUUCCCCAGUAAAAAACCGGAAAUGACUUAUAUUACAGGGGGGUAAAGACCUAUUAACCCUUUA